CUCCCCAAUACAGUUAGAACACGCGCUCUUCGUGGCUUUCGGAGUCGCGAGCGGAGUGUCAGUCGUUCGCAGGCAUCCGCCAACGCAUACACGAUGCUUCCACGUUCCCGCGUUUAUUCAACAAUGAGGCUAAACUCGAAAUCCGCGCUUUCUACGUGCUGCAUAUUCGUAUUAUUGUCCAUUUUGAGCCACGGUGUUACGAAGACUCGUGCAUCUGCGGAUAACACGAGCCAGAAAUCGAGUGGACUCAAAGUUGAUAAAUAUUUUCAACCGGAAGUAUGCGAGCUCAAAUCGAAAAAGGGCGAUCAAGUUACCAUGCACUAUACCGGAACUCUCGAUGACGGCAGUAAAUUCGACUCAAGUUACGACCGGGAUCAACCUUUCGCAUUCCAGUUGGGUGUUGGACAGGUGAUCAAGGGCUGGGAUCAGGGACUCCUCGACAUGUGCGUCGGCGAGAAGAGGAAACUGACGAUACCACCGGAGCUUGGGUACGGAGAGCGAGGGGCUGGCAACGUUAUUCCAGGAGGAGCAACUUUACACUUCGAUGUGGAGCUCCUCGAGAUCAGCGAUUCGCCACCCACGGCCAAUGUUUUCAAGGAAAUCGACACUGACAAGGACAACAUGCUGUCUCGCGAGGAGGUGAGCGAAUAUCUGAGAAAGCAAAUGGUAGAAGCUGAGGAAUCGAACGCGAGUAACAACGAAGAAGUGAAAAAGAUGCUGAAGGAUAACGACAAGUUGGUCGAGGAGAUAUUCCAGCAAGAGGACACUGACAAAAAUGGUUUCAUUUCGCACAGCGAGUUCAGUGGACCAAAACACGACGAGUUGUGAGCUGGUUACUUGGAUCACUUGGUCUUCCAGCUGCGAGUGAGGUUAAAUCCUCGUUGAAGAUCCCUUGUGUGAGGAUGGAGGAUUAAAAUUGAGCAGAACGUCAACAUUGUCUCUGACAUCAAAGAUGGAGUCUCAUGACGAUUUACACUUUUAUUUCCUUUUUUUUUUUUAAAUAAACUCAUGAAUUAAACUUGAAAAUAAAACACUCGAAAGUGAAUAAAGCAGUGAAUGAAGGACGUGCCCGUCGCUAUCAUUAUCAUCGAUAAACUGAAUACGUUUUAUUACUACAUUAUAUUGUAUGUUGUUAAAGUUGGACGAAGGUCAAUAAUAAAUCAAUGUGUUCUCGAGCACAAUUUGUUAAUAAAAAUCGAA
Molecule: unclassified non-coding RNA, 1200 nt
Filed under: Venturia canescens
Lineage: Eukaryota; Metazoa; Arthropoda; Insecta; Hymenoptera; Ichneumonidae
Description: fK506-binding protein 2, transcript variant X3
Source: RNAcentral